AUGACCUCGAGGCGCGAACAUGAGGAUAUGGUAUUCGGAAUCACCCCUGUGAUGGAAUUCAUGCUAAGGUCUAUGACCUUGAGGCGUGAACAUGACGAUAUGGUAGUCGGAAUCACCCCCGUGAUUGAAUUCAUCCUAAGGUUGAUGACCUCGAGGAGGGUGCAUUACGAUAUGCUAUUUGGAAUCAUCCCUGUAAUGGAAUUCAUGCUAAGGUUGAGGUACCUGAGUUGGGUUAGGCGGCUUAUCUCGGGAGGUAUGUGGCCAUUGAUUUGGUUGUCUGCCAUGUGGAUUUCAUGGAGCAAAAGAAGGUCAGAAAUGCAAGGAAAUAUUUGGCCGGUGAUGUUCAAAGAAUCAAGAUCAAGGGAAACAACACGAGCUGCAUGCACAGUACUGCAUGUCACCCCUCGCCAAUCACAGAACGCGAAUGACUCAUUUCUCCAUGAGUCUAAUGCUCCGGCAGGGUCAGAGAGGUGUGACCUUAGACACAACAGGACAUGCCUAUCGGUUUCGGAUGCAUUGUGGAGUGCAGGUGUGGCUAAGGAGCAGGCACGGGGACAGAAGCUCACCAAGCAGAUGAGCGUUGCAGCAAGAAGUGGCAGCAACUUGUUUCGAGCUCCUACUUCACCCAUCUUGUGUAUGCUGGUAGAUGUUAGGAGAUUUGUGUUUGUGAUCGUUUAG
RNAcentral lists this ribosomal RNA (678 nucleotides) under Triticum aestivum (bread wheat). RNAcentral's name for it is "partial small subunit ribosomal RNA". The record is from RNAcentral. Lineage: Eukaryota; Viridiplantae; Streptophyta; Magnoliopsida; Poales; Poaceae.